Molecule: transfer RNA, 77 nt
Filed under: Keratinibaculum paraultunense
Lineage: Bacteria; Bacillati; Bacillota; Tissierellia; Tissierellales; Tepidimicrobiaceae
Also listed under: 1 other name
Description: tRNA-Ile
Rfam family: tRNA
About the family: Transfer RNA (tRNA) molecules are approximately 80 nucleotides in length.
Source: RNAcentral
GGGCUUGUAGCUCAGGUGGUUAGAGCGCACGCCUGAUAAGCGUGAGGUCGGUGGUUCAAGUCCACCCAGGCCCACCA